Molecule: ribosomal RNA, 465 nt
Filed under: uncultured bacterium
Lineage: Bacteria
Description: partial 16S ribosomal RNA
Rfam family: Bacterial small subunit ribosomal RNA
Source: RNAcentral
CCUACGGGUGGCAGCAGUGGGGAAUAUUGCGCAAUGGGCGAAAGCCUGACGCAGCGACGCCGCGUGAGGGAUGACGGUCUUCGGAUCGUAAACCCCUGUCAGCAGGGAAGAACGGUCACUGUGCUAAUCAGCAGUGAAUUGACGGUACCUGCAAAGGAAGCACCGGCUAACUCCGUGCCAGCCGCUGCGGGAAUACGGAGGGUGCGAGCGUUAAUCGGAAUUACUGGGCGUAAAGCGCUCGUAGGCGGUAUGUCAAGUCAAGGGUGAAAUCCCCGCGCUCAACGUGGGAACUGCCUUUGAAACUGGCAAACUGGAGUGUGUGAGAAGAUAGUGGAAUUCCAGGUGUAGGAGUGAAAUCCGUAGAUAUCUGGAGGAACAUCAGUGGCGAAGGCGACUAUCUGGCACAUAACUGACGCUGAGGAGCGAAAGCGUGGGUAGCAAACAGGAUUAGAUACCCCAGUAGUC